GACGAACGCUGGCGGCGUGCCUAAUACAUGCAAGUCGAACGCUGACGGCGGAGCUUGCUCUUCUGGAUGAGUUGCGAACGGGUGAGUAACGCGUAGGUAACCUGCCUGGUAGCGGGGGAUAUCUAUUGGAAACGAUAGCUAAUACAGCAUAACAGUAGAUGUUCCCUGACAUUCACUUAAAAGGUGCAAUUGCAUCACUACCAGAUGGACCUGCGUUGUAUUAGCUAGUUGGUGGGGUAAUGGCUCACCAAGGCGACGAUACAGAGCCGACCUGGGAGGGGGAGGAGCCACACUGGGACUGGGACACGGCCCAGACUCCUACGGGAGGCAGCAGGAGGGAAUCUUCGGCAAGGGACAGAAGUCUGACCGAGCAACGCCGCGGGAGUGAAGAAGGUUUUCGGAUCGUAAAGCUCUGUUGUAAGAGAAGAACGAGUGUGGGAGUUGAAAGUUCACACUGUGACGGUAUCUUACCAGAAAGGGACGGCUAACUACGUG
RNAcentral lists this ribosomal RNA (495 nucleotides) under uncultured bacterium. RNAcentral describes it as "partial 16S ribosomal RNA". It matches the Rfam family "Bacterial small subunit ribosomal RNA", at positions 28 to 507 of the family's 1533-position model. The record is from RNAcentral.